CCCCCAUUGCAUAUAAUGCCUUCAAACUCGACAAUAAUGGGACUCUACAAGCAGGCAGCAACCCAAGAUGACCAUUUGCAAAGUUCCAAGCAAAUAUCCAACUUUAACGUUACCAGCCGUUGAUCCUGACCAUGUAACUUGCAUAUUACACAUUUCCUCAGCAUAAUUAGAGAAUUGAGAUAAUAAACUUCUUCUUUCUUCCUCUUCUUCCUUUUUUCUUUUUUUUUUUUUUUUUUUUCAAUGAAAAAGAGUUUUUUCUUGCUCAGGGAAACAUGCCCCAGUUAAGGAUACAGCGAAAUACGGAAGUCAAUGCAAUGUAUCUGCACUGCUGAAGAAUCUGAAAUUCAUGCACNGCAGGAACUGAACUUUUCGAAGCACACUGGUGCAAAUUAAUGACCUUUCAAAGGCCCAAUCAAAGAAAACGUGGAAAAAGCAG
Molecule: unclassified non-coding RNA, 436 nt
Filed under: Hevea brasiliensis (rubber tree)
Lineage: Eukaryota; Viridiplantae; Streptophyta; Magnoliopsida; Malpighiales; Euphorbiaceae
Source: RNAcentral